UCCUACGGGGGGCAGCAGUGAGGAAUAUUGGUCAAUGGGCGAGAGCCUGAACCAGCCAAGUCGCGUGAAGGAUGACGGCCCUACGGGUUGUAAACUUCUUUUGUCAGGGAGCAAUUGAGUCCACGUGUGGGCUUAGCGAGAGUACCUGAAGAAAAAGCAUCGGCUAACUCCGUGCCAGCAGCCGCGGUAAUACGUAUGGAGCAAGCGUUAUCCGGAAUUACUGGGUGUAAAGGGAGCGCAGACGGAUGUGCAAGUCUGAUGUGAAAGGCGGGGGCUCAACCCCUGGACUGCAUUGUAAACUGUAA
This 305-nucleotide ribosomal RNA is filed under the name uncultured bacterium. Its description in RNAcentral is "bacterial SSU rRNA". It matches the Rfam family "Bacterial small subunit ribosomal RNA", at positions 337 to 638 of the family's 1533-position model. The record is from RNAcentral.